Molecule: ribosomal RNA, 18 nt
Filed under: Himantocladium giulianettii
Lineage: Eukaryota; Viridiplantae; Streptophyta; Bryopsida; Hypnales; Neckeraceae
Description: 26S ribosomal RNA
Source: RNAcentral
CCGCGCGGCGCGCGUCAC